This 253-nucleotide ribosomal RNA is filed under the name uncultured bacterium. Its description in RNAcentral is "partial 16S ribosomal RNA". It matches the Rfam family "Bacterial small subunit ribosomal RNA", at positions 524 to 776 of the family's 1533-position model. The record is from RNAcentral.
UACGUAGGGUGCGAGCGUUAAUCGGAAUUACUGGGCGUAAAGCGUGCGCAGGCGGUUCGUUGUGUCGGCGGUGAAAGCCCCGGGCUCAACCUGGGAAUUGCGAUGGAGACUGCAAGGCUAGAAUCUGGCAGAGGGGGGUAGAAUUCCACGUGUAGCAGUGAAAUGCGUAGAGAUGUGGAGGAACACCGAUGGCGAAGGCAGCCCCCUGGGUCAAGAUUGACGCUCAUGCACGAAAGCGUGGGGAGCAAACAGG